GCCCGGGUGGCGGAAUUGGUAGACGCGCAUGGUUCAGGUCCAUGUCCUGGCAACGGGGUGGGGGUUCGACUCCCCCCUCGGGCACCA
Molecule: transfer RNA, 87 nt
Filed under: Rohdeia mirabilis
Lineage: Bacteria; Pseudomonadati; Planctomycetota; Planctomycetia
Description: Planctomycetes bacterium Pla163 tRNA-Ser
Rfam family: tRNA
About the family: Transfer RNA (tRNA) molecules are approximately 80 nucleotides in length. Their secondary structure includes four short double-helical elements and three loops (D, anti-codon, and T loops).
Source: RNAcentral